UUUCGUGGAGGUCCGAACCCACGAGCGUUGAAAAGCUCGGGGAUGACUUGUGGGUAGCGGUGAAAUUCCAAUCGAGCCCGGAGAUAGCUGGUUCUCCCCGAAAUAGCUUUAGGGCUAGCCUCAAGGUGAGAGAUACGGAGGUAGAGCACUGAAUGUCCUAGGGGGUAUUGCACCUACCGAAGACUAUCAAACUCCGAAUGCCGUCAUCUUAUACUUGGGAGUCAGACUGUGGGUGAUAAGAUUCAUAGUCGAAAGGGCAACAGCCCAGAUCGUCAGCUAAGGUCCCUAAAUGUAAGUUAAGUGGUAAAGGAUGUGGGAUUGCACAGACAACCAGGAUGUUGGCUUAGAAGCAGCCACUCAUUCAAAGAGUGCGUAAUAGCUCACUGGUCGAGUGAUCCUGCGCCGAAGAUUUCCGGGGCUAAAACUUACUACCGAAGCUACGGCAUCAGUAAUGAUGGGUAGGGGAGCUUCCCAUACGGGUUGAAGCAUGACCGUAAGGACAUGUGGACAGUAUGGGAGUGAGAAUGUUGGCAUGAGUAGCGAGAUGUGGGUGAGAAUCCCACAGGCCGUAAACCCAAGGUUUCCAGGGGAAGGUUCGUCCGCCCUGGGUUAGUCGGGACCUAAGCUGAGGCCGAAAGGCGUAGGUGAUGGACAACAGGUUGAUAUUCCUGUACUACCGAUAACCGUUUGAGAGAAGGGAUGACACAGUAGGAUAAGCUAAGCACACUGUUGGUUAUGUGUGCCCAAGCAUUGAGGCAGUCAAAGUAGGCAAAUCCGCUUUGAUAAUGCUGGGAUGUGAUGGGGAGCGAAAUUUAGUAGCGAAGUAGCUGAUUUCACACUGUCAAGAAAAGUCUCUAUCGAGGUUAAAGGUACCCGUACCGCAAACCGACACAGGUGGGUGAGGAGAGUAUCCUAAGGCCAGCGAGAGAACUGUUGUUAAGGAACUCGGCAAAAUGACCCCGUAACUUAGGGAUAAGGGGUGCCACCAUCAGGUGGCCGCAGAGAAUAGGCCCAAGCGACUGUUUACCAAAAACAUAGGUUUCUGCUAAGUCGCAAGACGAUGUAUAGGAGCUGACGCCUGCCCGGUGCUGGAAGGUUAAGGGGAUCUGUUAGAGCAAUCGAAGCAGUGAACUUAAGCCCCAGUAAACGGCGGCCGUAACUAUAACGGUCCUAAGGUAGCGAAAUUCCUUGUCGGGUAAGUUCCGACCCGCACGAAAGGCGUAACGAUUUGGGCACUGUCUCAACAACAGACUCGGUGAAAUUGUAAUUCCGGUGAAGAUGCCGGAUACCUGCGACAGGACGGAAAGACCCCAUGGAGCUUUACUGUAGCUUGACAUUGGGUCUUGGUACUACAUGUACAGGAUAGGUGGGAGGCUUUGAAACCAGGACGCCAGUUUUGGCGGAGCCAUCCUUGGGAUACCACCCUUGUAGUACUGGGACUCUAACCAUAGGCCAUGAAUCUGGUCUUGGGACACUGUCAGGUGGGCAGUUUGACUGGGGCGGUCGCCUCCCAAAAGGUAACGGAGGCGCUCAAAGGUUCUCUCAGUACGGUCGGAAAUCGUACGUAGAGUGUAAAGGCAAAAGAGAGCUUGAUUGCAAGACAUACAGGUCGAGCAAGGAUGAAAAUCGGACUUAGUGAUCCGGUGGUUCUGCGUGGAAGGGCCAUCGCUCAACGGAUAAAAGCUACCCUGGGGAUAACAGGCUUAUCUCCCCCAAGAGUCCACAUCGACGGGGAGGUUUGGCACCUCGAUGUCGGCUCAUCACAUCCUGGGGCUGUAGUAGGUCCCAAGGGUUGGGCUGUUCGCCCAUUAAAGUGGUACGCGAGCUGGGUUCAGAACGUCGUGAGACAGUUCGGUCCCUAUCCGUCGCAGGCGUAGGAAAUUUGAGAAGACCUGUCCUUAGUACGAGAGGACCGGGAUGGACGUACCUCUGGUGUACCAGUUGUCCUGCCAAGGGCAUGGCUGGGUAGCUAUGUACGGAAUGGAUAAGCGCUGAAAGCAUCUAAGCGCGAAGCCAACUUCAAGAUAAGAUUUCCCACCGCAAGGGUAAGACCCCAGAAAGACUAUCUGGUUGAUAGGUCGAAGGUGUAAGUGCAGCAAUGUAUUUAGCUUAUCGAUACUAAUAGGUCGAGGACUUGACCAA
RNAcentral lists this ribosomal RNA (2142 nucleotides) under Clostridioides difficile. Its description in RNAcentral is "bacterial LSU rRNA". It matches the Rfam family "Bacterial large subunit ribosomal RNA", at positions 762 to 2925 of the family's 2925-position model. Lineage: Bacteria; Bacillati; Bacillota; Clostridia; Peptostreptococcales; Peptostreptococcaceae. The record is from RNAcentral.